AUAUUUAUAAGAGAAAAAGACCAAAAUAGUACUAAAUAAAGUUUUUGUUCCCAAACUAGCACUCAAGACCAAAAGUCACAAAAAUAACACUUAAGGGGUGGGGUUUAGGGUUUAGAAUUUAGGGUUUAGGGUUUAGAGUUUAGGUUUUUGGGUUUAGAGUUGAGAAGUGAGGUUUUGGGGAUUAGAUUUCAAAUUUUAAAAAAUAAAAAAAUUUAAAUUUUCAAAAGAUAAAAUGCUAUUUUGGUCAUUUUAGUUUUUGAGUGCUAUUUUUGUGAUAUAAACUUAGAAAUGUGCUAUUUUGGAGAUUUGCCCUAUUUAUAAUGUAUUUUAUGAUUUAUAAAUAUAUACCGUAUGGACGGUAGGUGUUUUAGAUGGACUUUCUAGUUCUUCAGCCUGUACAAAAUAUAUACAUGAAUAUAAAAACUGUUUUUUUAAUGAAAUCAUA
This 445-nucleotide long non-coding RNA is filed under the name Brassica napus (rape). RNAcentral's name for it is "long non-coding RNA (BNAP_LNC008074)". The record is from RNAcentral. Lineage: Eukaryota; Viridiplantae; Streptophyta; Magnoliopsida; Brassicales; Brassicaceae.